ACAUCCCCAAUGGGAUGACAGUCACGUGACAGUUCGUUCCUGUGGGAAUCGCAAUGCUGCAGGUUUUUAGAGUUUCCAUGAGAGAACGUGGAUUUUGAUGAUUGCUGAUGUCUUGUUUGCUUCAUCCCACGCCGUGUCUUGAUUUCUCGUAUACCUUUUCGAUGCUGAUGGAAACAUUCAAAAUACGUGAUAAAAUGUGGAUAUUGCAAUGGUUUGUCUUUCACCGAGGUUGCGUCUGUAAUCCUUCCGAAUCCUUUCCUGCUGAUGCCAAUGGGAGAGAUGAGAUCAAGGCACGUGCAAUCCGUUUUGCCAAAACUGCAAGGACUUUCCAUACGCGUGUAGCAACGUGUCUUUGCCGAAGUUGCAUCUGCGAUGCUCCUGUAACCCUCCAUAGCGGUGGACAUCUCGGCGUUCCGCCGUGGCUUUUGUUAUGUUGAGUCAUGGAUACAAAAGCGUCCGCGCCUGUGUGAACUGUGUGAGUAUGUGUUUUUAGUAUUCUAUCUCGUUUCGCAUGUUGUUUGUUUCCUUAAACUUGUGAAUUUGUUUUAGCGCAAGAGGAGGAAGAUAUGUGAAUGGUUCGAGAUGACGUGAUCGACAUGUGUGAACAUGUGCGAAGGAAGAUGCUGAAGGGGCGGUUUUCCACCCAAGUAGGCACAGUGGCACCUUCGUUGGCGUCGUGUCCUGA
This 685-nucleotide unclassified non-coding RNA is filed under the name Bombus terrestris (buff-tailed bumblebee). RNAcentral's name for it is "misc RNA ENSBTSG00005022225.1". The record is from RNAcentral. Lineage: Eukaryota; Metazoa; Arthropoda; Insecta; Hymenoptera; Apidae.